This 2023-nucleotide long non-coding RNA is filed under the name Elaeis guineensis (African oil palm). RNAcentral's name for it is "long non-coding RNA (EGUI_LNC044217)". The record is from RNAcentral. Lineage: Eukaryota; Viridiplantae; Streptophyta; Magnoliopsida; Arecales; Arecaceae.
CAGCAAGUCCAAAAGGAAGGCGUUUUGCCCUUUACCAAACUGCAGAUUCCCCAAUCAAACGCGGUAGACACGGAAGCCAUCAAUCAAUCCAUCCACUCCCCAUGCCAUUAAAUUAUUUCGAGAAUCCAUCAUUGUUUUCUUUUCAUUAAAAAAAAAAGAAAAAAAAGCAUCCUUUUGCCGUUAGCAUUCCUUCUGAUCUUUUUAGUUUUAUCGAUGUACACCGCAACAAAUAGAGAAACCCGAUAGAAGAAAACGACAGAAACUUGCUUCAACGGAAUCCGUCACGGCAGCCGGACGUCAUCUCGCACCGUCGCCGCCGCCGUGCAGAUCAUCCCAAUUCCUUCCCGAUUCAGAUGGCGCCGAUCAGACGGCGGACGAAGUCGAAGCAGGACCCCAGCGUUAGGCCGCAGGAGAUCGCGGCCCAGAAACGUCGGAAUGCCUCCCACCGGCCAGACGACCCCGACGCCCUCACCGUCACCGCCAUCGGCUGGAGGUACGCCCGCGCCGCCUGCUUCACUAGCCGGUUCCUGAUCGGGAUCUCGCAGCACCGCCACCCACCGCUGACAUGCGCGAUGGCUGCAGAGUGGAUCGCCGCCGCCGGAGGCAUCGUCACGAUAAGGUCCCGGAUGCUGGUGUAACCCGGCUGCUCCCGAAGUUCGAAGACGCCGCCGCCGCCGCAUCCGUUAGCGGCGGCAGCGUGGCGGAGGUCCAGCAGUGCGGAGAUCAAGGCUAUGCUCCGCCGGAAGGAGAGUCUUCCGGCGGGCGCCAUAGCCGGCUCUGCCAUCAGGAAGAUGGGGGUAGGCGAGGAUGGAAGCAGAACGGGGAGGGGAGAGGUGGAGAGGGUCUCAAAGUGAUUGAAGACAAAAAAUGGAAAUAAAUGAACGGCUUAGGAGGGGUCUCCGGGUAAUCUGGGCCGUCCGAUCCUGAGGAAGGUUGGUCGAAUUUGGUAAGGUAGUGAUCGUUAUAAUCUUUUUUUUUUUUUUCUUUCAUGAUAUUCUUUCCAUGGAAGGUAGCGAUUAUUAUACAGUAAUUUAGGUUGUUCUUUAAUAUAUUCCUCUGGUCGUGUCUUAAUGCUGAUGAUGGGCUGGGUUUAGAAGUAGAAAAUGUUGUAUUAAGUAAUUCUUUGUACAUGAUAUGUGAUAUGUGAUGCAGAAAAAAAAAAUAUCAUCCUAUUUAAUUGGGUUACAUAGCUAUCACUUUUCAAUAUAUAUUUAACAUUUAUAAUUUUAUUUUUUUAUUUAAAAUUUUGAAUAACAAAAAUAUCUCUCAUCUUUUAAAAAAAUUAUGAUAUCUUAUGAUCAUAUUAUGGCAUAUUAUAGUUAAAUUACGACUUUCUAUUUAUUUGACGAUAGGAUGUCAUAAAGAAGAGUAGGAUAUUUUUGUUAUUUAAAAAUUUUAUAAUUUUUUAAUGAUAAAAAUAUUUUUUUUUUAUGAUUUUUAAAAAAAAUAUAACUUUUUGUAUACAAAAAAUCCUAAUUUGAUAGCAGAAUAUCAUAAUAUAGUCACAGGAUGUCAUAAUUUUUUCAGAAUAUAAAAAAUAUUUUUAUCAUUCAAAUUUUAAAUAAAAAUAUAAAAUUAUAGAUAUUAAAUACGUGUUAGAAAGCAGUGGCUAUGUGCUCUAAUAUAGUUUAGUAGUAUGCUUCACAUUAAUUUUAUUAUAUUGCAUACGGUGCACAAAGGCUUUCUUAUGUUAAAUUUUACAUAAGUCUGAUGUGAAGCUUUCGUAAAAGUAAAUAUAAUUUAGACAGGAGGCUCAGCUCAUGAUCAGCUUUAAUCCCUUGCUUUCUUGGCUUCCAAUUAUUUUAUAGGAACCCAGUCUAUACUUCAUGGUGGCUAGCGCAUCUCGACUCAUCCAGGAAUGCAAAUGUGAAAUGGGCCAAGCUUGAGCGGUCUGAAACUGCCGAUUUGGUUGGAUUGAAAUAUUGGGCUAUAGUUUUUUCUUUUAUUUUUUAAGGUUUUGAAAAUUUAAGGUUGAGCAUGACCACUUCUAUUCUACUUAGAACUAGGAGCUUGCUCAAUCACC